AAUCCCUCCUGUACUA
This 16-nucleotide transfer RNA is filed under the name Crotaphytus collaris. RNAcentral's name for it is "partial tRNA-Met". Lineage: Eukaryota; Metazoa; Chordata; Lepidosauria; Squamata; Crotaphytidae. The record is from RNAcentral.